Molecule: transfer RNA, 76 nt
Filed under: Acidobacteriota bacterium
Lineage: Bacteria; Pseudomonadati; Acidobacteriota
Description: Acidobacteria bacterium tRNA-Thr
Rfam family: tRNA
About the family: Transfer RNA (tRNA) molecules are approximately 80 nucleotides in length. Their secondary structure includes four short double-helical elements and three loops (D, anti-codon, and T loops). Further hydrogen bonds mediate the characteristic L-shaped molecular structure. tRNAs have two regions of fundamental functional importance: the anti-codon, which is responsible for specific mRNA codon recognition, and the 3' end, to which the tRNAs corresponding amino acid is attached (by aminoacyl-tRNA synthetases). tRNAs cope with the degeneracy of the genetic code in two manners: having more than one tRNA (with a specific anti-codon) for a particular amino acid; and 'wobble' base-pairing, i.e. permitting non-standard base-pairing at the 3rd anti-codon position.
Source: RNAcentral
GCCGGCGUAGCUCAGUUGGUAGAGCAUCUGAUUUGUAAUCAGAGGGUCGGGGGUUCAAGUCCCUUCGCCGGCUUCA